UACGUAGGGUGCAAGCGUUGUCCGGAUUUAUUGGGUUUAAAGGGAGCGUAGGUGGCUUUUUAAGUCAUGGGUGAAAGCCCGCAGCUCAACUGUGGAAUUGCCUGUGAUACUGAGGAGCUUGAGUGCGGUUGGGGCAGCUGGAAUUGGUGGUGUAGCGGUGAAAUGCAUAGAUACCACCAGGAACACCGAUUGCGAAGGCAGGUUGCUAAGCCGUAACUGACACUGAGGGACGAAAGCGUGGGGAGCAAACAGG
RNAcentral lists this ribosomal RNA (253 nucleotides) under uncultured bacterium. Its description in RNAcentral is "partial 16S ribosomal RNA". It matches the Rfam family "Bacterial small subunit ribosomal RNA", at positions 524 to 776 of the family's 1533-position model. The record is from RNAcentral.